This 253-nucleotide ribosomal RNA is filed under the name uncultured bacterium. Its description in RNAcentral is "partial 16S ribosomal RNA". It matches the Rfam family "Bacterial small subunit ribosomal RNA", at positions 524 to 776 of the family's 1533-position model. The record is from RNAcentral.
UACAGAGGUCUCAAGCGUUGUUCGGAUUCAUUGGGCGUAAAGGGUGCGUAGGCGGCGCGGUAAGUCGGGUGUGAAAUCUUGGAGCUUAACUCCGAAACUGCAUUCGAUACUGCCGUGCUUGAGGACUGGAGAGGAGACUGGAAUUUACGGUGUAGCGGUGAAAUGCGUAGAUAUCGUAAGGAAGACCAGUGGCGAAGGCGGGUCACUGGCCCGGUACUGACGCUGAGGCGCGAAAGCGUGGGGAGCAAACAGG